RNAcentral lists this ribosomal RNA (685 nucleotides) under Streptomyces sp. W19. Its description in RNAcentral is "bacterial SSU rRNA". It matches the Rfam family "Bacterial small subunit ribosomal RNA", at positions 98 to 797 of the family's 1533-position model. Lineage: Bacteria; Bacillati; Actinomycetota; Actinomycetes; Kitasatosporales; Streptomycetaceae. The record is from RNAcentral.
GCGAACGGGUGAGUAACACGUGGGCAAUCUGCCCUUCACUCUGGGACAAGCCCUGGAAACGGGGUCUAAUACCGGAUAACACUCUGUCCCGCAUGGGACGGGGUUAAAAGCUCCGGCGGUGAAGGAUGAGCCCGCGGCCUAUCAGCUUGUUGGUGGGGUGAUGGCCUACCAAGGCGACGACGGGUAGCCGGCCUGAGAGGGCGACCGGCCACACUGGGACUGAGACACGGCCCAGACUCCUACGGGAGGCAGCAGUGGGGAAUAUUGCACAAUGGGCGAAAGCCUGAUGCAGCGACGCCGCGUGAGGGAUGACGGCCUUCGGGUUGUAAACCUCUUUCAGCAGGGAAGAAGCGAGAGUGACGGUACCUGCAGAAGAAGCGCCGGCUAACUACGUGCCAGCAGCCGCGGUAAUACGUAGGGCGCAAGCGUUGUCCGGAAUUAUUGGGCGUAAAGAGCUCGUAGGCGGCUUGUUGCGUCGGUUGUGAAAGCCCGGGGCUUAACCCCGGGUCUGCAGUCGAUACGGGCAGGCUAGAGUGUGGUAGGGGAGAUCGGAAUUCCUGGUGUAGCGGUGAAAUGCGCAGAUAUCAGGAGGAACACCGGUGGCGAAGGCGGAUCUCUGGGCCAUUACUGACGCUGAGGAGCGAAAGCGUGGGGAGCGAACAGGAUUAGAUACCCUGGUAGUCCA